Molecule: long non-coding RNA, 825 nt
Filed under: Olea europaea subsp. europaea
Lineage: Eukaryota; Viridiplantae; Streptophyta; Magnoliopsida; Lamiales; Oleaceae
Source: RNAcentral
GAAAAAUUCAUUUAGCAUUUGACGUUCGUUAAUUUUUAACAAAGAGUGACAUCUUUAGCACUAUUAGCAUAAAUCGUGUUUAUCAAAACACAAUUUUACCUUAACAAAAAAAAUUAAAAAAAAAAUAAUUAUAAAAUCCCAGAGACUUUUUUCCUCCUCCAAAAUCAAAAUGACUGUCAUUUAUCCCAAAUCAAUUACUGUCAUCUUCUACCCAAAAUAACUGACGAACUCCAGCUUCCUCAAACAACAACUGUGGAUAAAUUCCAUCUAGUCGGGUUUGAUAAUCUUUGCCAUACCCACAAGGUUUCCCCAUUUUUUUCAACCACCUUAAGCAUUUCGCCAUUGGAAACCUAGAGCAAGCCGUUAUGAUUAUUGGGUUUUUCUACCUCCACAGGCUGGCGAUUCAAUUCAAUGCAAAUCAAAAUCAUAUAAAAAAAACAACAGAUUUUGAAGCGAUUUUAGAUUCCUCGGCUCGUGCAAAAACUGCUAGAACUUAAGAUCCAAAUUCCUUUCCAAAGCCUCAUUCCUGAGAACAAAGAUUGAAAUAUUAUGUUUCGAAACUGCCUCUUCAAGGGUUUGUAAAAAAAGUGUUGUUUCUACGAGUUUUGAUAAUUCAGUAUAGUGAGAAUCCAAAAAGGUAACAAGAACUGAGUUGGAGUUGAUUUGGAUUAAGUUUGAGGACCCUACAACUGAGUUUUUGGCGGAUGAAUUUUGAUUUUGUUGCAAUGCAACACUUGUUAUGGCAAGAACAGUGGAGAUUGUAUAGACUCCAUAGAUGUGAACAUAUUUCAAACACAAGUAAAUUUAAAUGAAAAAGGUUUUCGG